RNAcentral lists this transfer RNA (86 nucleotides) under Planctomycetota bacterium. Its description in RNAcentral is "tRNA-Leu". It matches the Rfam family "tRNA". From Rfam's summary of the family: Transfer RNA (tRNA) molecules are approximately 80 nucleotides in length. Their secondary structure includes four short double-helical elements and three loops (D, anti-codon, and T loops). Lineage: Bacteria; Pseudomonadati; Planctomycetota. The record is from RNAcentral.
GGGGGCGUGGCGGAAUGGCAGACGCAGGGGAUUUAAAAUCCCCUGGCCGCGAGGCCGUGCGGGUUCGAAUCCCGCCGCCCCCACCA